This is a small nucleolar RNA of Drosophila kikkawai, 84 nucleotides long. RefSeq annotates it as small nucleolar RNA Me28S-Gm3255. NCBI's taxonomy places the organism in Eukaryota, Metazoa, Arthropoda, Insecta, Diptera, Drosophilidae. The record is from RefSeq and is a predicted model, not a curated record.
AAUCCAAUGAUGCUUAUAAAUUUUCUGACAUCUCUAAUGAACCGUUGUGAUUCAAACUUUUUAAAUAUUUAAUUUACUGAUGCU